Ictalurus punctatus (channel catfish) is the source of this 1652-nucleotide long non-coding RNA. The record is from Ensembl. NCBI's taxonomy places the organism in Eukaryota, Metazoa, Chordata, Actinopteri, Siluriformes, Ictaluridae.
CUACAAUUCAACUACAACCGAUUCACAACGAAAGUAUUCUGAGGUGUUUUUAGUCACCGUCUAGGUUUCUAUUUUAAUCAGCAUUUCAACACACACAAACUUAUUGAGACACACAACUUACAAGUGUAAAAACAUGACCCCAACCCUCCUGCUGUAUUUUUACAAAAUACACCACACGUACAUUUAUUUUUUCACUUGCACAAACAAUUGAAUUUACACUAGUGUUUUGAAGCAAAUUCAACACAAUUCGAUUAAAUUAUAUUUACAGUAUAUGGCGCUUUUAACAAUGGACACUGUCACAAAGCAGCAAUACAGAAAUACAGGAUAUAGAUUUUAAAUGCAUCCAUGAGGAGCAAAGCACACUUGACUGUGGACAAGGGAAAAACUCCCAGAGACAACAUAUGGAAGAAUCCUUGAGAGGAACCAGACUCAAAAGGGAACCCAUCCUCAUCUGGGCGACACCGGAUGUUGCAUUUAUAAAUCAUUUCUCUGCAUGUUAAAAGGAACCAGAAUAAACAUAAAUAUGCCUUUUGUUCAGUAUCCCACAGAUUCAUAUUUUAACAAACUGUAAUAGCUGGCCCAACUUCAACCACCCCCACUUGCAUAUUCCAUUAGUGCAUAGGGAAAGCCAAAGGUGUGGCCUGGACAACUGCGCAGACGGGUUAUUUAUGUGCCACGCGUAUGAAUCACGCAUAUGAAUUGUAGGUUAUUGCUAAUCUGGGUGGGGGGGUUGUCAUGGAUUCUGGGAUUACGAAUAACUAACUUUUUCUCAUCCUCUAGUUGAAAACACUGUGUGUUUCAACUUUUAAGUGAAUAUCCUAAAGAGGCCCCAACCAAGAACACACAGAAAAGCGGAGACCACAACGCACUUUCAACAUCAAUUAAUAGCUUCCAUCUCCCUUUAAGAAGUAGAGCUUGAUGGGAACCCCAUUACUGAGAAGCUAACAACUGUACUAUAACUUGGGCCUUUUACUGUUAAACAUCGUUCAUCAUUGCCCUGAGAACAUGCCUCGUGUUUAAUUCUUCCACUAACAUCAUCCUCAGUGGCUGUUGAUGAUGAGAAAUACUCUUAUCACAUGAGUUAUUAGUCAUUACCUGUUUGGAGAAUUGUGUCAACGCUGCCAAUGUAUAACAACCACUAAUCAGGGAAUCACAUACCACUGCUUCGCCAGGCUGUAUUUAUCUUCCUGUACUGUUGAACUCUGCUGCUCUGCACUCAUUUCCUCUGAUGACAAGGAAAGUUACAGCAGUCCCCAAUCGCCAGUUUUUUCAGUUCGGUCAUACUAUUACAACGAAGUAAACCACUGGCUACAAUCCAGUCGAUGAAUAUGAUGAUUGUUUUCAUGUGCUGCCAGUGUGUUGCCUUGUUCUUGUUCUAGUCCCUGUAGUCCCAGAAGCCCUGCUGAGCUAACAAGAGACAGAAAAAAAAAAUCCCCCAGUGUCUUGCACUGUGGCUCCACUGGGAAUGCAGGACGGAAAGCCAAGGGCAGGAGAGGUCCAGGCUUGAACUACCAUACUUCCUCUCCUAUGGCUACUUUAUGAGAUAGACAAUUAGCAGACGCUUCUCAGUUGUGUGUCAAAGGACUAUUAACACAGAGGAGGGAGCUUUGGGGUUGGCAAACAUCUACUGACAGCCAAGUCAAUUACUGAGA